Molecule: ribosomal RNA, 494 nt
Filed under: uncultured bacterium
Lineage: Bacteria
Description: partial 16S ribosomal RNA
Rfam family: Bacterial small subunit ribosomal RNA
Source: RNAcentral
GACGAACGCUGGCGGCGUGCUUAACACAUGCAAGUCGAACGGUGAAGCGCCUUCCUUUUUGGUGGGGGUGGGUGAGUGGCGAACGGGUGAGUAACACGUUAGUAACCUGCCCCCUGCUUCUGGAUAACCGCAUGAAAGUGUUGCUAAUACGGGAUAUGCUGGGUCUGUCGCAUGAUUGGUCUGGGUAAGAUGUUGGUUCGGUGGGGGGUGUGCUCGCGGCCUAUCAGCUUGGUGGUGGGGUGAUGGACUACCAAGGCGGUGAAGGGUAGCCGGGCUGAGAGGGUGGAAGGUCACACUGGGAUGGAGACACGGCCCAGACUAGUAUGGGAGGGAGCAGUGGGGAAUAGUGUACAAUGCGAGGAAGGAUGAUGCAGAGCAGCAGCGUGAGGGAUGGAGGCAUUCGGGUUGUGAAGCUCUUUCGUGAGUGAAGCAGGACUGCUUCGUUUGUGGGUGGGUUGACGGUAGCUGGAUAAGAAGCCCCGGCUAACUACGUG